UUUAAUAGAGAUGGGAUUUCACUACGUUGGCCAGGCUGAUCUCAAACUCCUGACCUCAAGUGAUUUGCCUGUUUCUACCUCCCAAAGUGCUUAGGUUACAGACAUGAGCCACUGUGCCUGGCCUUGGUACCCUUUUGGCUCAACCAUAGAUUUUACUGUCUUAACCCAUUUUAAUUACUCUUUUGAGUCUCUGUCCUCCCUUCCAAUUUGAUUAGGGAUUUUGCUGAUGAGAUGAUAUUAAACAUCAAGAGUACUACUUUUUACUCUGACUUUUUUGUGCUGUCUUUAAUAGGCAAAUAGUAUAAUUUUUUUUUUUUACAAGGAAACACAUGAGAUGGAUGUCUUUCUUGUUACUUCUUAAUAGUUACUUAGUAUUUACAAGCAAUCCUUGUUUUCUUAAUUGUUAGCUAUGUUAAUUUUUAUUCUAUGCUUCACUUAUUCUGACAUUGACGUGUAGGUUUCUGCUGAUUUUUUUCAAAUCCACAAUCUUUAUAACAAACUGAAGUGUAUAAUAGAGCGCUAUAUUUUGUUUUUAUUUGUUUGUGUUCUUUUGGAUCAAAUAUUUUUUCAUUUGCUCUGAAAAAAUGUUUAUGUGAUUUGUCUUUUUUGCCUUGAGAUAGAUCUGUUUAUCCUGCCUCCUAGGGACAAGUUUCUGCCUGGAUUGAAACAGAAAAAAACCACAGGAGUCACAAGUAUGUUACCUAUUAAAAGAGAGAGGGUAUCUCUGAAGACUAAUUAAAAUGGUAAUUUUUUAAAAGAUGGGAGAAGUUGACUUUUAGUAUAUCACCCCAAGUAUUCUCACCAAAAUGAUAAUGCAAAACAGAGUAAUUUGGAGACCAGGAGAAAAGCGAGUAGUAGGAGAGGGGAAGAAGCAUGUGUGAUCAGGAUAAAUAAUGCUUAUUUGUCCUCAGCUGUAGGUAGAGGCGCCCUCACAGAUGAGCACGAACGGGUGUACUGUACUUUGAAGGAAGGCUUGCCAUUUCUAAGGUACCAUGGAGAAGUGUAAGAGAGCAAAACUGUCACUUCUGAAUCUUUGAUUCCAGCAGCAAAAAUGUUUUGCACAUAGUCGAAUACAGUGUUGAUAAAUGGAGGACAGCAUUAAAUCAUUUUUCUGUUAACAGUUUCCUCUUUCUUCUGCACCACCAACCUGUGUUUCAAGCCUCUCUGUUCCACAAAGCUUCCAAAGCCCACAAAUUUGUUAAUCUAGAGCAGGGAUCAGCAGACCACCACCCAUGUGCCAAAUCUGGCCUGCUACCUAUUUUUGUAUGGCCUACUAAGUUUGGUUUUUAUAUUUUUAAUGGUUUUAAAUAUUUUGUAUAAUAUAAAAAUUACAUGAAAUUAAACUUUAGUUUCUCUAAAUAAAGUUUUGGAAAGAGCUCCCAUUCUCAUUUGUUUUCAUGUCAUCUCUGACCACUUUUGUGCAUCAGAGUUGAAUAGCUGCAUCAGUGGUACCAUUUGGCCAGCAAGGCCAAAACUAUUACUGUCUGGCCCUUUAUGGAGAAAGUUUGCCUACCCCUUACCUCCUUUAUCUAAUGCAAUAUAUAAGUUCCAUCAACAAACAAGAAAUUGACUUGGUAACAUGAGAACCUAGAGCUGAAUGUUGAGGUACAGUAAUGAUACUUGCUCCAAACAUUUAUUGAGCACUGCUAAGGUACUUUACUCCAUUGUUUAUAAAGAAUCCAGUGAGGGAGAGAGGCAUUAUUUCCAAUGUACAGAUGGGAAAAUUGAGGUACAGAGUGGUUAACUUGCCCAAGUUUAAGUAGUGGUUGCUGCAGACUCUGGCUGUCUGACUUGAGCCACUGCCCUUUACACUUGUGCUUUGCUGCCUCCCCUUGUGGACUUUGGCUUGACCUGAUAUUUCAGAAACAAUUAGGUUGUCCUGGGUAGAAUAAACAUCUUCCUCCUCCAGUUUAAAUUAGACAUUUUCAAUGCGAUUGUACUAAAUGUUGCAAAUCAGGAGCUAAUUUGAUGUUCAUUCUUUGAAUGAAGCAUAUAAAAUACUGUUAACUUCUAAUUUAACCAGCUCUAAGGUGUUUUGGAGAUGGGGAUAAGUGGAGAAGGAGAAGGAUUUCUGCUUUAAAAUUUCCCCCGUGUUCUCGAGAGUUUAUAAUGACACAGAGGCUAAAGGGCUUAACCUUGACGGAUUGAGAGGUGAAAGUAACUUUCUGGAUUUCUUACCAAGUCUGGUAUAAAGGGGUGAUUCUUGAAGCUUUAAACUAGAUCUGCUUUUCUACUUGCAAAUGGGUGUUCACAAGAUAAAUUUCAUUAGAUUAUUUUAGGGUGAAUACUUCUCAAUCAUUGAGGAGCCACAAGGCAUGCCUCAUUUUAUUGCAUUUCUCUGUAUUGUGCUUUGCAGAUACUAAUUUUGUUUUCUUUUUUUUUUUUUUUUUUUUUNUUUUUUUUAACAGAUGGAAGGUUUGUGUUAGUCCUGCAUGGAGAAAGUCAUUUUCCCAACAUCAUGUACUCACUUUGUGUCUCUCACAUUUUGGUAAUUCUCCCUAUAUUUCAAACUUUUUGAUUAUUAUUAUCUUUCUUAUGGUGACUUAUAAUCAGUGACCUUUGAUGUUACUAUCAUGAUUGUUUUGGGGCACCACAAAGCACACCCAUGUAAGACAGUGAACAUAAUUGAUAAAUGUCUGUGUUUUCCCCAUCUCUCCCUCUCGAUGCCUUCCUAUUCCCUGAGGCACAAUAUUGAAAUUAGGCCAGUAAUAAGCCUACAGUGGCCUCUGCGUGUUCAAGUGACAGGAAGAGUCACAUGUCUUUAACUUUAAAUAAAAGACUAGAAAUUAUUAAGCAUAGUGAGGAAGGCAUGCCAAAAGCUAAGACGGGCUGAAAGCUAUGCCUCUUGAUCCAAAUUAGUUAGCUAAGUUGUAAAUCCAAAAGAAAAGUUAGUGAAGGAAAUUAAAAGUGCUACUCCAGUGAGCACACAAGUGAUAAGAAAGCAAAACAGCCUUAUUACUGAUACGGAGAAAGUUUUAGUGGCUUGGAUAAAAAAUCAAACCACCACGUUUGCUUAAGCCAAAGCCUAAUCUAGAGCAAGACUGUAACUGUCUCAUAUUCUGUGAAGAUUGAGGGAGGUGAGAAAGCUACAGAAGAAAAGUUGAAAGCCAGCAGAGAUUGGUUCAUGAAAUUUAAGGGAAGAAGCUGUCUCCAUAAAAUAAAAGUGCAAGGUGACGCAGCAAGUACUGAUGUAGAAGUUGUAGUAAGUUAUCUGGAAGAUCUAGCUAAGGUAAUUAAUGAAGGUGGCCACACCAGACAACAGGUUUUCAAUGUACAUGAAAUAGCCUUCUAUUAGAAGAAGAUAACAUCUAGGACUUUCUUAGACAGAAGUCAAUGCUUGGCUUCAAAGCGUCAAAGGCAGGCCGAUUAUUGUUAGGGGCUAAUGCAGCUGGUGACUUCAAGAUGAAGCCGGUGAUCAUUAACCAUUCUAAAAAUCCUAGGGCCCUUUUGCUGAAUCUAUCCUAUCUGUGCUCUGAAAAGGGAACAGCAAAGCCUGAAUGACAGUACAUCUGUUUACAACAUCAUUUACUGAAUAUUUGAAGCCUGCUGUUGGGACUUAAUGCUCAGAAAAAGAAAAUCUUUUCAAAAUACGAAUACUCAUUGACAAUGCAUCUGGUCACCUAGGAGCUCUGAUGGAGUUGUAUAAGGAGAGUAAUGUUGGUUUUAAUGCCUGCACAUCCAAUACUCAUUCUACAACCCAUGAUUAAGGAGUAGUUCUUGCUUUCAAAUCUUAUUCAAUAAAUAACAUUUCAUAAGGCUGUAGUGAUUCCUAGAAGUAGUGAUUCCUCUGAUGGAUCUCGGCAAAGUCAGUUGAAAACUUUCUGGAAAGGAUUCACCAUUCUGAAUGCCAUUGCAAGCAUUUGUGAUUCAUGAGAGAAGGUAAAAACAUCAACAUUUACAGAAAUUUGCAAGAAGUUGAUUUUAGUCCUCAUGGAUGACUUUUAGGGGCCUAAGACUUAAGUGGAGGAAGUCAUUGCUGAUGUGGUGGAAAGAGCAAGAGAACUAGAAGUGAAGAUGUGACUGAAUUGCUGCAACCUCAUGAUAAAACUUGAUGGAGGAGGAAUUGCUUCUUAUAAAAGCAAAGAAAGUAAUUUCUUGAGAGGGAAACUAUUCCUGGUGAAGAUGCUGUGAACAUUCUUGAAAUGACAGCAAAGGAUUUAGAAUAUUAGAUAAGCUUAAUUGAUAAACCAGUGGCAGGGGUUGAGAGGACUGAGACUAACUUUGAAAGAAGUUCUACCGUGGAUAGAAUGCUGCCAAACAGCAUGAUAAAGAGAAAUCUUUUGUGAAGGCAAGUAUCAGUUGUUGGAGCAAACUUCAUUGUUGCCUCAUUUUGAGAAACUGCCACAGCCACUCCAGUCUUCAUCAGCUACCACCCAGAUCACUCAGCAGCCCUCAACAUUGAGGCAAGAUCUUAUAUCAGCAAAAAGAUUAUGACUUGCUGAGCACUCGUGAUUGUUGGCUUUUUUUAGAAAUUUAAUUUUUAAAGUAUAUAUUUUUAGACAUAAUGCUUUUGCACACUUCAUAGACUAUUGUUUAAACAUAACUUUUAUAUGCACCGGGGAGCCAAAACAUUUGUGUGAGUUGCUUUAUUGUGAUACUCCCUUUAUUGCAGUGGUCUGGAACUGAACCUGCAGUAUCUCUGAGGUAUGCCUGUAUAUAGUGUGAUCACGAACAAGUUUAGAAUACAAGUCCUUUUUUUUUCCUAUUUAAUAGAGCAAAAGGACAAAACAGGAGAAAGUUUAUGAUUUUCUGCUUGCUAGUGCAGUGUGACACACCAUCACUAGUGAUGCCAGAUUAAUGGAAGGCAGAGGUUGAGCCUUCCCCUUCAAGUGUCCAUUCUUGCUUGCCCACUCUGCACGUUUGAACAUAGACCUGUUUUCCCACUGGAUUUAUUUUUCUCAGUGGGACCGUGAUUAUCACAGUCACAUGUGAUUGAAACCAUGAAACUCAUGGUCCCUCCUUCCCCCUUUUAGUAAUAUCCUUUAUUUUCCAGUUACUUUAUCCUCACCCCAGCCUCUGCUCCCAUCAUAGCUAUGCAGACUAUUGCUAAAAUUUAACCGACUUCUCUCUUGCUGUCUCUUAAAAAACCUUCCUAAAAUGUUGUUUUGCACACUGAUCUCAGAAACUCACAUUUCUCAUGGGAUAAAACUCAGCUCUCUGUUGGCAUAUAAGACCCAUUACAGUCUGAUUUCUAUCUUCCAAUUUUUAUAGUAGCCAUCUGCUCUGGGGUAAUAGUUAACUUUCCUCACUGUCAUUACUCGCAUUGCGUCACAUAUGCACUGUCUUACUUCUGACCCCAGGAAGUUAGCCCAUCAGUCUUACUCCCUUGAUUCUGUUUUGUUAAAGACCUGUUGUGAUUUCAGCCUUUUCCUUCCAAGAUGACCCGGACCUUUGGCAACAACUCCCUCUAUUGGUUCAUUGCACUUUUGUUAUACUCACUGGGCCCUUCAUUUGUGCUGCAGAGAUUCACAUUUACUGUGUUGUUUUUCUGUUUCCCCAACAAGAGUAAAUUAUUCAGGCACAGGUUCUUACAUGUAUCCCAAGAACCUAAGACACAAUGGAUGCUUAGUUAAAAAUAAUUAGUGCUGGUAAAAUAUGUCCUCUAAGGUUAGUUCCUGUUCUGAAAUUGCAAAAGAUAGCUUAAGUUCUGACUGCUAUGAUGAGUGAGUUGCUGCUUUGGAAGAGUUACAGAUAUGAGCCAUUUCCUUUUCUGUGACUGUGCACCAUAAAUAAAUCUUUAGAGGCUCUGCCUCAAGAGUAGAAAUGUUUAAUCCCUGUCUAUGCUUGACUUUCCCUCUAGGUGCCAGGAAAAGCAAACAGAUGUUAAGCUGGCCUUCCUGGUAGUUCAGUCUGUAUGUUGCGGAUUAAAAAAAAAAAAAUCUGCUAAGUUUAGAACCGAGAAAGUCACAAAGCCCUAAGUCCUUAAGCUGACUUGAGGAAACUUUCUGGGUAGGAAGCUUCUGCUUUGUCCUCUGUAUUCACUAUCGCCGUGGGGCAGCACUGCCAAGUGAGCUGGGAAGGUGAGUGGUGUCUUUGUUUUGUAGAAUGGAAGAAAUAGUGUGGAUGCCAUGGUUUUGCUUUUGUUAGAGGAAACUGUAUGAAAGCUCAGAAUUACCUUAAAUUCCAAAUUAAUUAGGCCAUCCUGUGAAAUUACCUUUGCUGAGGGAGCCUUUAGAAAGUUUCGGGGUACCCCCAGGGUUAGACAUAUCCCAUAUAAAGACCUUUAGUCCAAAGUGUUGAAAAUUUGUUUUCAUCGGUAAUAUUAUAAUGUGUGUGUGUGUGUGUGUGUGUGUGUGUGUGUGUGCGCGCGCGCACAUUUGAUAAGGUUCUUACUUAUACUUAGGACUUCCUUAGUGAGCACUGAUGAAAUGAGCUUAGUCUCUUGUAGUGGAGAGUGGAACACAAACCUGCCCCUGCCUCAUUAAUGUCAAGAAGCCUCUCCAUCAGCCCACGAGCACUGAGCCUUUUGAGUUUCCUUUGAUAAUGUCAGUAACACCUGGGUUGGCAUUAUUCUCACCUCAGUCUAGUGACUCAGUCCUGGGCCAUGCUGAAAUUGCAUGCAUACUAAGUAUAGUGUAAUGAGACAGUUUUCAGUGCAGACAGCUGAACCCCCAAUCACUUGCUCUGCUGAGUGUUUUGACGAUUACAUGGCACUUCUGCUAGCUUGCCUAAAAUUCCUAAAGAGUACAGUGAGGAUGCAAUGAGCAUGACUUUCGUUCAUUCUGUAUGUCUGUUGAGAAAAAUGUGGGAAUUCCAAGCAACAACUUAGUGAUGAUUCAGGAAAGACAGGUAAAAUAGAAAGAAACCUUAAGUUGUAAAAUUUAUGUUAAAUCCUACAUUCUGUACUAUAGGCAACUUCCUUGUAUUCUCCCAUUUAGUGAUUUGGUAGGAGAGUAGGAGGGGAAACUUAAAAAUUAGGUGUAUUGCAGAAUACCUGUUCUUUUCAUCAGCACGUGGAACAUUCUCUGGGGUUGACCAUAUGUUAGGACAAAAAACAAGUCCCAAGAACUUUUUAAAGAUCGAAAUCAUAUCAAGCAUCUUAUCUAACCACAAUGGAAUUAAACUAGACAUCAAUAACAAGGAACAUUAGAAACUAAACAAAUACGUGGAAAUUAAACAACAUGCUCCUGAAUGAUCAACGGGGGAGAGAAGAAAUUAAGAAUGAGAUUUAAAACUUCCUUGAAACAAAUGAAACAGAAACACAAUGUAGCAAAACCUAUGAGACACAGCAAAAACAGUAUUGAGAGGCAAGUUUACAGCAAUAGGUGGUGACGUCCAAAAACUAGAGAGAUUUAAAUGAUGGAGUUUCAUUAUUGUUGCUCAGGCUGUAGUGUAGUGGCAUGAUCUUGGCUCACUGGAACCUCCGCCUUUGGGCUCAGGCAAUUCUCUUGCCUCAGCCUCUCGAGUAGCUGGGACUAUGGGCAUGCACCACCACGCCCGGCUAAUUUUGUAUUUUUAGUAGAGAUGGGGUUUUGCCGUGUUGGCCAGGCUAGUCAAGAACUCCUAACCUUGGGUGAUCCACCUGCCUCAGCCUCCCAAAGUG
Long non-coding RNA from Cebus imitator (Panamanian white-faced capuchin), 7543 nucleotides. RefSeq lists it as uncharacterized. The transcript has 3 exons. NCBI's taxonomy places the organism in Eukaryota, Metazoa, Chordata, Mammalia, Primates, Cebidae. The record is from RefSeq and is a predicted model, not a curated record.